UCCUCCUUCUCUUCCAUCAUUUUAUCAUUCCUCUACUCCCUUAUCUUCUUCUUCUUCUUCUUCUUGAGCCAGAGAUCAGUGCUGGAGGAAGGAAUCUGAUGGAAAGGAAAUCCUACUUAUAUAUGAAAAUUUAUCGAGAGAUGUUGUUUUGGCGGUCGUACACAAAAUACUAAUGAAAGUUUUAAUUUAACUGUUUGGCGAUUGGCUCCGAAACAUUUACAUUCUGGUUUAAAAAUCGUUGAGGUCACGGCAUAUUUGGUUGCUUGCUUAUUCAAUGAAGGAAGUUCGAGUAUUUGAUUAGUUAUGAACGAGCUUAAUAUUAUCGUUGGUAACCGAAGCUUCAGUCAUGCCCAAGAAAUAGAUAGUUGACACGUAACCUGAUAAAAUCGACGCAACUCUAUGGACAAUAAGGAAGCUCGAAAAGCUCGAAAAGAAAAGCUGCAAACCGAAAACGAUACAUAUGAAGCUGAUGAAGGACUGCAAUAUGUUGCUGGAAUAGCUGAUUAACUAAUGAAAAUUGUGAUCUUCAGGAUGUACACAAAUUGUCUAGCCGGAUGGAGACUUGCAAUGCGCGGCAACUGAUAUCUUCGUUUUUUUUCGAGGAAAAUAUUUCAAAAUUUCGGAAUAUACUCUUAAAUAUAUGUAUAAAAUGACCUCAAGAUAUAAAUAACAUUUAUAUAUUCCUUAUGUGUUAAAAAAAUUCAUGAAAAUCACUAAAAAUACGCCAUCUUACACCUAUUUCCCCCUUGAAAAUUUCAUGAGUUUAUUGUACCUGUUCCCGUGGCAAGGAGAACUUCUUAACGUAACUGUACAGCACUGGGUUGUUUACAUUUUAACCGAUGGCGACGUUGCCAAGUCUACGGACCUGUUGCCUACGCCGUCGUCCGUCGUCGUCGUGGUUACAUUAAUCAAUUCCUUAAAUGACGUACGUGCUUAAUUAAUCCAUACUUUGUAAAUUUGGUCGUCUUUGUCAAGUUCGAUAAGAUACUUUUUCCAAAAAUUCGAGUACCUACUAUCGCUUUAUGUUAUUUAAUAUACGUACCAUUUAUUAUGAAAACGAUGUAAUUCAAAUUUUAAAC
Molecule: long non-coding RNA, 1079 nt
Filed under: Polistes fuscatus (common paper wasp)
Lineage: Eukaryota; Metazoa; Arthropoda; Insecta; Hymenoptera; Vespidae
Description: uncharacterized LOC122519490
Source: RNAcentral